CUGAACCAGCCAAGUAGCGUGAAGGAUGACUGCCCUAUGGGUUGUAAACUUCUUUUAUAAAGGAAUAAAGUCGGGUAUGCAUACCCGUUUGCAUGUACUUUAUGAAUAAGGAUCGGCUAGCUCCGUGCCAGCAGCCGCGGUAAUACGGAGGAUCCGAGCGUUAUCCGGAUUUAUUGGGUUUAAAGGGAGCGUAGAUGGAUGUUUAAGUCAGUUGUGAAAGUUUGCGG
This 227-nucleotide ribosomal RNA is filed under the name uncultured bacterium. Its description in RNAcentral is "partial 16S ribosomal RNA". It matches the Rfam family "Bacterial small subunit ribosomal RNA", at positions 383 to 607 of the family's 1533-position model. The record is from RNAcentral.